This 904-nucleotide ribosomal RNA is filed under the name uncultured bacterium. RNAcentral's name for it is "bacterial SSU rRNA". It matches the Rfam family "Bacterial small subunit ribosomal RNA", at positions 61 to 962 of the family's 1533-position model. The record is from RNAcentral.
GUCGAGCGGUAACAGAUCCAGCUUGCUGGAUGCUGACGAGCGGCGGACGGGUGAGUAAUGCAUAGGAAUCUGCCCGAUAGUGGGGGAUAACCUGGGGAAACCCAGGCUAAUACCGCAUACGUCCUACGGGAGAAAGGGGGCUCCGGCUCCCGCUAUGGGAUGAGCCUAUGUCGGAUUAGCUAGUUGGUGAGGUAACGGCUCACCAAGGCCACGAUCCGUAGCUGGUCUGAGAGGAUGAUCAGCCACAUCGGGACUGAGACACGGCCCGAACUCCUACGGGAGGCAGCAGUGGGGAAUAUUGGACAAUGGGGGAAACCCUGAUCCAGCCAUGCCGCGUGUGUGAAGAAGGCCCUCGGGUUGUAAAGCACUUUCAGCGAGGAAGAACGCCUAGCGGUUAAUACCCGCUAGGAAAGACAUCACUCGCAGAAGAAGCACCGGCUAACUCCGUGCCAGCAGCCGCGGUAAUACGGAGGGUGCAAGCGUUAAUCGGAAUUACUGGGCGUAAAGCGCGCGUAGGUGGCUUGAUAAGCCGGUUGUGAAAGCCCCGGGCUCAACCUGGGAACGGCAUCCGGAACUGUCAAGCUAGAGUGCAGGAGAGGAAGGUAGAAUUCCCGGUGUAGCGGUGAAAUGCGUAGAGAUCGGGAGGAAUACCAGUGGCGAAGGCGGCCUUCUGGACUGACACUGACACUGAGGUGCGAAAGCGUGGGUAGCAAACAGGAUUAGAUACCCUGGUAGUCCACGCCGUAAACGAUGUCGACCAGCCGUUGGGUGCCUAGCGCACUUUGUGGCGAAGUUAACGCGAUAAGUCGACCGCCUGGGGAGUACGGCCGCAAGGUUAAAACUCAAAUGAAUUGACGGGGGCCCGCACAAGCGGUGGAGCAUGUGGUUUAAUUCGAUGCAACGC